GAUGAACGCUGGCGGCGUGCUUAACACAUGCCAGUCGAACGAGAAGUGAAGACGGAAACCUUCGGGCGGAAGGCUUUAUUUCGAGUGGCGGACGGGUGAGUAACGCGUGGGUAACCUGCCUCAUACAGGGGGAUAACAGUUGGAAACGACUGUUAAUACCGCAUAAGACCACAGCACCGCAUGGUGCGGGGGUAAAAACUCCGGUGGUAUGAGAUGGACCCGCGUUCGAUUAGCCAGUUGGCGGGGUAACGGCCCACCAAAGCGACGAUCGAUAGCCGAUCUGAGAGGAUGACCGGCCACAUUGGGACUGAGACACGGCCCAAACUCCUACGGGAGGCAGCAGUGGGGAAUAUUGCACAAUGGGGGAAACCCUGAUGCAGCGACGCCGCGUGAGUGAAGAAGUAUUUCGGUAUGUAAAGCUCUAUCAGCAGGGAAGAAAAUGACGGUACCUGAGUAGAAGCCCCGGCUAACUACGUG
Molecule: ribosomal RNA, 477 nt
Filed under: uncultured bacterium
Lineage: Bacteria
Description: partial 16S ribosomal RNA
Rfam family: Bacterial small subunit ribosomal RNA
Source: RNAcentral